This 72-nucleotide transfer RNA is filed under the name Myotis davidii. It matches the Rfam family "tRNA". From Rfam's summary of the family: Transfer RNA (tRNA) molecules are approximately 80 nucleotides in length. Their secondary structure includes four short double-helical elements and three loops (D, anti-codon, and T loops). Further hydrogen bonds mediate the characteristic L-shaped molecular structure. tRNAs have two regions of fundamental functional importance: the anti-codon, which is responsible for specific mRNA codon recognition, and the 3' end, to which the tRNAs corresponding amino acid is attached (by aminoacyl-tRNA synthetases). tRNAs cope with the degeneracy of the genetic code in two manners: having more than one tRNA (with a specific anti-codon) for a particular amino acid; and 'wobble' base-pairing, i.e. permitting non-standard base-pairing at the 3rd anti-codon position. Lineage: Eukaryota; Metazoa; Chordata; Mammalia; Chiroptera; Vespertilionidae. The record is from Rfam by way of RNAcentral.
GCCGGUGUGGCUCAGUGGACAGAGCGUCGGCCUGUGGAUUCAAGGGUCCCGGCUCGAUUCUGGUCAAUGGCA